Molecule: long non-coding RNA, 627 nt
Organism: Cebus imitator (Panamanian white-faced capuchin)
Lineage: Eukaryota; Metazoa; Chordata; Mammalia; Primates; Cebidae
Exons: 3
Source: RefSeq, a predicted model, not a curated record
UCUGAAGAUUUAAAAAAGAUGAGCAAAUUCCAAGAACUUGGAUGGAAGCCUGGCCUACAUCCUUAUUAGAUAACUAUCCAUCGAUCUGGGACUGUUCUGUGCGUGUGUCCUACCCACCUGGCAUGUUGGGAGAGCUAAAUCAAUGCCACAAUGACAUGCUGUCUUUCUCCACUUGAGAUUGAAGCAGUCAGCCUCUCUCACUGACAAUACAUAUGAUGAGGGAGUGGAGGCCUAUGGAGAUUAUGUCCUAGAAGGCGAAGAACACAGGUCUGCAGCCUCCUACCCAGCCAGGGAACAGUCAGAAAUCCAAGAAAAGACAAACUGCAGCUAGAGCUCCCAGCAAUGUCAUGAGGGUGGAGCCAAGCAAUCCCUUGGUCCAGAGUUGUUGGAAAAUCCUGCAUCCUUCAGAUGUAUGAAGAAGAGUGGGAGUGGACGGGGCAGAAAUCACUAGCUGCCAAAUCUGAGGAAAAUAUCUCCAAAUUGGGGAGAUGGCCACUGAUUCCCACCGGUCUUCUCAUCAUGGUCUUGCAGUGGGAGAUGGGAAAAAUCAGGAAAGAAGAUUGGAAUUUGGAGAAAAUUGUGAAAAUAUAUUGGAGAGAGGGAUAGUUCUUGUGAACAAUGUGAGUC